CUGAACCUUCGGGGAACGAUAACGGCGUCGAGCGGCGGACGGGUGAGUAAUGCCUGGGAAAUUGCCCUGAUGUGGGGGAUAACCAUUGGAAACGAUGGCUAAUACCGCAUAAUAGCUUCGGCUCAAAGAGGGGGACCUUCGGGCCUCUCGCGUCAGGAUAUGCCCAGGUGGGAUUAGCUAGUUGGUGAGGUAAGGGCUCACCAAGGCGACGAUCCCUAGCUGGUCUGAGAGGAUGAUCAGCCACACUGGAACUGAGACACGGUCCAGACUCCUACGGGAGGCAGCAGUGGGGAAUAUUGCACAAUGGGCGCAAGCCUGAUGCAGCCAUGCCGCGUGUAUGAAGAAGGCCUUCGGGUUGUAAAGUACUUUCAGCAGUGAGGAAGGUGGUGUGCUUAAUACGCGCAUCAUUUGACGUUAGCUGCAGAAGAAGCACCGGCUAACUCCGUGCCAGCAGCCGCGGUAAUACGGAGGGUGCGAGCGUUAAUCGGAAUUACUGGGCGUAAAGCGCAUGCAGGUGGUUUGUUAAGUCAGAUGUGAAAGCCCGGGGCUCAACCUCGGAAUUGCAUUUGAAACUGACAGACUAGAGUACUGUAGAGGGGGGUAGAAUUUCAGGUGUAGCGGUGAAAUGCGUAGAGAUCUGAAGGAAUACCGGUGGCGAAGGCGGCCCCCUGGACAGAUACUGACACUCAGAUGCGAAAGCGUGGGGAGCAAACAGGAUUAGAUACCCUGGUAGUCCACGCCGUAAACGAUGUCUACUUGGAGGUUGUGGCCUUGAGCCGUGGCUUUCGGAGCUAACGCGUUAAGUAGACCGCCUGGGGAGUACGGUCGCAAGAUUAAAACUCAAAUGAAUUGACGGGGGCCCGCACAAGCGGUGGAGCAUGUGGUUUAAUUCGAUGCAACGCGAAGAACCUUACCUACUCUUGACAUCCAUAGAACUUUCCAGAGAUGGAUUGGUGCCUUCGGGAACUAUGAGACAGGUGCUGCAUGGCUGUCGUCAGCUCGUGUUGUGAAAUGUUGGGUUAAGUCCCGCAACGAGCGCAACCCUUAUCCUUGUUUGCCAGCACUUCGGGUGGGA
This 1075-nucleotide ribosomal RNA is filed under the name marine bacterium AK13_018. Its description in RNAcentral is "bacterial SSU rRNA". It matches the Rfam family "Bacterial small subunit ribosomal RNA", at positions 67 to 1136 of the family's 1533-position model. The record is from RNAcentral.